This 237-nucleotide unclassified non-coding RNA is filed under the name plant metagenome. Its description in RNAcentral is "partial contains small subunit ribosomal RNA and internal transcribed spacer 1". The stretch from base 1 to 46 matches the Rfam family "Eukaryotic small subunit ribosomal RNA", at positions 1786 to 1831 of the family's 1831-position model. The record is from RNAcentral.
AAGUCGUAACAAGGUUUCCGUAGGUGAACCUGCGGAAGGAUCAUUAAAGAACGCCCCGUUUUUUACAAAUUUGGGUUCAAAUGAUCCCCUAACAGCCUAGUAUACCUUACCUUUGCUUUGCUUUGGCGGGUGCCGGCCUUGACGGUCGUUGGGCCUCCGGGCUUGAACCGUAGCGCCCCGCCAGAGGACCCAAACUCGUUUGUUUAGUGAUGUCUGAGUACUAUAAAAUAUUUAAAA